RNAcentral lists this long non-coding RNA (746 nucleotides) under Haliotis rufescens (red abalone). Its description in RNAcentral is "uncharacterized LOC125384236". Lineage: Eukaryota; Metazoa; Mollusca; Gastropoda; Lepetellida; Haliotidae. The record is from RNAcentral.
CGUUUUCGCAAUGAGAGAGAAUAAAAUGGUGAUCGAAAACUGAACGAGUAAGUUCCAGUGCUAGCUACGAAAUCGUACUGUAGCUAGAUCUAUAUAAACAGCGCUGCGAUGAAGAUGUGAAUCGUAAUUAGCUACAAUGCCUGUCAAAUAUAUCUGUUCCCGUUUGGAUUCCGGUUUAGAAAAGGUCCCCAACAAACCAUGUUUGUACUAACAUGAUUGUGUGUCAUUGUACUCUGACAGAGGUUGUGAGACGUGGCUCACUAUAACAAUCACUGGUUUGUCAGACCGGUGUAUAUUUAAAACCAAAUUACAUUAGGUGUUUUUUUUAUGAUGGUACUCAUAAUUUUGUUACUUAUAUCUGUAGCCUGAGUUUAUUUCCGAUCGGACCUUUUACAUGAAGACUUUAGAUUUACAGUUUUCCUAAAUUUUAGGCAAUUAUACAAUGUAUGUUAUCUUUUUGUUUAGACUACAGAUCUAAAUGUAUGCUUAUUGAUUUGAAUAUAGUUUUAGUUUUGACUUUUUUCAUAUGUUUUCGUUGCAGCAAGGGGGAAAAUGUUACACGACCAUUCCAGGAGAUAAAAUCAAGAAUGUUGAAUCAUUGAGGAACACACCAAAUAAACCCUGGGCUGUGAAUUAUGUUAACGGAAGUGGAAGUGAACACCAAAGAAAGAAGAUUCUGGCAUUCAAUAAUUUCGAAAAGUGUAUACAUUUUCUAUAAUCUAAAAAUAAUAAAAUGUCAACGCAAA